Schistosoma mattheei is the source of this 46-nucleotide non-coding RNA. The record is from Rfam. Lineage: Eukaryota; Metazoa; Platyhelminthes; Trematoda; Strigeidida; Schistosomatidae.
GCACUGCUGAGGAGUCCCAUACUAAAACGAAACGGCCGUCCAGUGC